AACGAACGCUGGCGGCAUGCCUAACACAUGCAAGUCGAACGAGACCUUCGGGUCUAGUGGCGCACGGGUGCGUAACGCGUGGGAACCUGCCCUUAGGUUCGGAAUAACUCCCCGAAAGGGGUGCUAAUACCGGAUAAUGUCUUCGGACCAAAGAUUUAUCGCCUUUUGAUGGGCCCGCGUUGGAUUAGCUAGUUGGUAGGGUAAAAGCCUACCAAGGCGACGAUCCAUAGCUGGUCUGAGAGGAUGAUCAGCCACACUGGGACUGAGACACGGCCCAGACUCCUACGGGAAGAAGCAGUGGGGAAUAUUGGACAAUGGGCGAAAGCCUGAUCCAGCAAUGCCGCGUGAGUGAUGAAGGCCUUAGGGUUGUAAAGCUCUUUUAACCGGGAUGAUAAUGACAGUACCGGGAGAAUAAGCGCCGGCUAACUACGUG
RNAcentral lists this ribosomal RNA (433 nucleotides) under uncultured bacterium. RNAcentral describes it as "partial 16S ribosomal RNA". It matches the Rfam family "Bacterial small subunit ribosomal RNA", at positions 29 to 507 of the family's 1533-position model. The record is from RNAcentral.